Long non-coding RNA from Panicum virgatum (switchgrass), 2266 nucleotides. RefSeq lists it as uncharacterized. Lineage: Eukaryota; Viridiplantae; Streptophyta; Magnoliopsida; Poales; Poaceae. The record is from RefSeq and is a predicted model, not a curated record. The transcript is spliced from 2 exons.
CCUGUACUUUCGAAGCAAGGCAGUACUCGGCUUACCGGUUUCGACUACCUCCUACUCCCGGCAUGCGGUUAGUACAAUUCAAACUCGAUCACAGGACCAGACAACGAACGGUCCUUAACCGACACAAACGGGGCUAACCUUUCCCCGCACGGUCUCCGAAUUCUUUUCCUUUCUUACAUAUUCCAAUAUUCCAUACAUUCAAAAUAAUGAGAUAUCCUAUAUCUCGCAAGUGACCAGAAUCCACUCGACUUCUACCGAGAUCUAUUAUGCAUAGUAUUUCUAUCAUCCUAUACAUGCUAGUACAACUCAAGGGAACCUAGGGAUCAUGCAACUAGGGUUUCAAACAAUUCCUAAACCUAAUGCAUGAGUAAUAGAGACAUAUAUAGGUGUCAUAAUUUGAAAUAACAGGACAUGCACCGGGGCUUACCUUGAGUCUGCUGCUCAGCACUAGGGUCAGCUGGGCCUUGGGCUGCCUCCUCACGAACCUCCUGCUGUGGGGCUUGCCCCUACGACUCCUGUGGCUCCGCAACCACCUCGUAUACCACCUCCUCCGCGGCGGCUGCUACACGUGUGCAUAUGCACAUGACAUGAGAAUGCAUGCAUGAUUUACAAAAGUUAUAAGUAUUCAAUAUCCCAAUUACAUAUCGGUCCCACCGACCGGUCAGACCGGUCCCAUAUGACUCCUAACAUGCUACCGGUCAGACCGGUCCCUUCCAACCGGUCAGAUCGGUCCUACUCAGACCAAGAGCUAGAAUUCAUGGCGCGGUGAAAAUCGCCCACCAAAACCAAAACUCUCCUAGGAACUAGUUCAGGGGUGCAUUUGGACGUGUUUGACCAGACGGAACCACCUAAAAUCACCUAGAACGGGAGAUCGACCAUCACACGCUAAAAUACCUUGGAUGAGCUUUUCCUCCGCGAAGAACUUGAAUCCACGUCACCCCGGGAAGGAGCACCUGGAGAGGAUGAUCCUCGACCCUGAUUUGAAGCUCCCCAAGCCUUAAAAUGGAGUUUGGAAUGAGGGAUUAGGGAGUGAGGGUUUUGGGAGAGGAGAGCUCGGGGAAAGAGGGAGUUGGUGUGGUGAAGAUGAGUGAAUUGGUGAGGGAGAGAGAGAGAGUGGUUUAAAUGAUGUGGAGCCCAAAAACGGUUGGCCCAGGUUCAACCGGUCAGACCGGUUGCUCCGACCGGUCAGACCGGUCCGGCCCAGACUAACAAGAAAUUUUGCUAUCUUAUGGUCUGUGGCUUAAAUUUAAAACUAAUGGCCUUGAUUAAACUUAAUUAGGGUUGAUUAACACCUGGGUGUUACAAUCGCUUCCUGAUUCCUCUCUUCGCUACCCUCCUCCGUUGGACCUUGGUCCUCGCCUCUCUUCGCUCGCCUUCGUCUUCGCUGUUUGGACCUUGGUCUUCGACGGUCUUCGUUUGCCUUCGUCUUCGCUAUUUGGACCUUGGUCUUCGCCUCUCUUCGCUUGAAGCCCGAGGCCCUUCGCUCGCUCGGGAUGCUGAGCCGGCAGAAGACCUUGUCAUUGGACCCGAAAUGGUCCGCGGGCUUUCGGUCGAUGGCCAAAGGUGGCGUCCCCAACAGUGAUGCAGCACUAUACCAGCUAUUGCAGAGUUGAUCUUGGAUAAGAAGGAGGAGGAGAAGAAGUUGAGGGAGUUUAGGUGGGAGGAGGAGAAAAAAAUGAAGGAGGAUAGGUGGAAGGAGACAAAGAUGAUUCAACAGCAAAAGAUAUCAUUGGAAAAAGACAAAUUGAUAUCAUUGGAAAAAGGCAAACUGAUGUGGGAACAAGAACAGAAAAAUCAUGUUCUGUGAUGUGAGUACCAUGGAUCCGGAUCAGAAGACACAUGUGUUGACAAUGAGAGCACAAAUUGCAGCACAACAGAUGGAUGCCUUCAAUGCUAGGUUUGGUGGUGGGUUUAGCGUUUCUAGUGGUGGAACAGGAGGUGAUGCCGAUGGUGCAGCCAUUUAAUUUAUGCUUGGUGGUCAUUCCGCUUGACUGCGAUCAGUAACUCCUCCAGAAGUAGAACAAACCCGUUAGAGAAACACGAAAUACUUUCAGGUGGUUUCAGUUGAUAACCAUGAGUUUUGGUCCAUGGACUUUGUUUACCACGACAGUGCUGUGAAGAAUCUGCAGGAAGCACUUUUGGAGUCUCAUAGUUUGUGUGCUAGUGAUGCCCAUAGAUUGGUAGUAGCAUGUCAUAUAAACUAUAGUUGUAUUAUACUUGGUUUCGACUGCUGUCCAGAUUCAGUUGGAUAGGUAUUGGCUCUGCA